UUAUGAUUCUUAUAAUUAUUGUUUAUGUUCGGUUUUGUCCGGUUCAAUUUUGUUUCCGAAGACAAAAUAUCCGGUAAUUUAAUCUUUUUGAGUUGGCAACCCUAGGUGGGCGGCCUUCUAGCAGAGAAAGUGCGACGAGGAACUAGAGCGUCAAGAGUAGGAACUAGAGCGUCAAGAGUUCAAUGCAGAAGAGAAAUCGCGAGCGGAGAUGAUACGAGGCGGAAGGCGAUUAAAGCGACUAUUAAGAGUGACCUCGAUAAGAUCGCUUGAUGAGAGAAAGGAUAGAGCACAUUGACGAUGGGAUAGCACGAAGGCACUAUUACUGACCAAGGAAUGAUCAAGAGAGAGAGAGAGAGAGAGAGAGAGAGAGAGAGAGAGAGAGAGAGAGAGAGAGAGAGAGAGAACU
Long non-coding RNA from Solenopsis invicta (red fire ant), 406 nucleotides. RefSeq lists it as uncharacterized. The transcript has 2 exons. The record is from RefSeq and is a predicted model, not a curated record. Lineage: Eukaryota; Metazoa; Arthropoda; Insecta; Hymenoptera; Formicidae.